UGUAAGCGUAUACCAAAGUUGUUGCAGUUAAAAAGCUCGUAGUUGGAUUUCUGGUAGGAGUGACCGUUCCGAACUUGAUUGUUCGUGUAUUGUGUUUUCUCCAGCCAUCCUUGUGGAGAACUUUUCUUGCAUUAAUUUGUAGGGAUUGGGACCCGCAUCGUUUACUGUGAAAAAAUUAGAGUGUUUAAAGCAGGCAAUCGCUUGAAUACAUUAGCAUGGAAUAAUAAGAUAGGACUUUGGUACUAUUUUGUUGGUUUGCAUACCAAAUUAAUGAUCAACAGGAACAGUUUGAGGAUAUUCGUAUGAACAUGUCAGAGGUGAAAUUCUUGGAUUUUGAUCAGACGAACUACUGCGAAAGCAUUUAUCAAGGAUGUUUUCAUUAA
Molecule: ribosomal RNA, 383 nt
Filed under: uncultured eukaryote
Lineage: Eukaryota
Description: partial 18S ribosomal RNA
Rfam family: Eukaryotic small subunit ribosomal RNA
Source: RNAcentral